RNAcentral lists this ribosomal RNA (402 nucleotides) under uncultured bacterium. Its description in RNAcentral is "bacterial SSU rRNA". It matches the Rfam family "Bacterial small subunit ribosomal RNA", at positions 109 to 507 of the family's 1533-position model. The record is from RNAcentral.
AGUAAUACAUCGGAACGUACCCUGAAGUGGGGGAUAACGUAGCGAAAGUUACGCUAAUACCGCAUAUUCUGUGAGCAGGAAAGAGGGGGAUCGCAAGACCUCUUGCUUUAGGAGCGGCCGAUGUCGGAUUAGCUAGUUGGUGAGGUAAAGGCUCACCAAGGCGACGAUCCGUAGCGGGUCUGAGAGGAUGAUCCGCCACACUGGGACUGAGACACGGCCCAGACUCCUACGGGAGGCAGCAGUGGGGAAUUUUGGACAAUGGGCGCAAGCCUGAUCCAGCCAUGCCGCGUGAGUGAAGAAGGCCUUCGGGUUGUAAAGCUCUUUCGGUGGGGAAGAAAUUGCUUCGGUUAAUACCUGGAGUAGAUGACGGUACCCGCAUAAGAAGCACCGGCUAACUACGUG